GACGAACGCUGGCGGCGUGCUUAACACAUGCAAGUCGAACGGAAAGGCCCUGCUUUUGUGGGGUGCUCGAGUGGCGAACGGGUGAGUAACACGUGAGUAACCUGCCCUUGACUUUGGGAUAACUUCAGGAAACUGGGGCUAAUACCGGAUAGGAGCUCCUGCUGCAUGGUGGGGGUUGGAAAGUUUCGGCGGUUGGGGAUGGACUCGCGGCUUAUCAGCUUGUUGGUGGGGUAGUGGCUUACCAAGGCUUUGACGGGUAGCCGGCCUGAGAGGGUGACCGGCCACAUUGGGACUGAGAUACGGCCCAGACUCCUCCGGGAGGCAGCAGUGGGGAAUAUUGCACAAUGGGCGGAAGCCUGAUGCAGCAACGCCGCGUGCGGGAUGACGGCCUUCGGGUUGUAACCCGCUUUAGCCUGUGACGAAGCGUGAGUGACGGUAAUGGGUAAAGAAGCACCGGCUAACUACGUG
This 468-nucleotide ribosomal RNA is filed under the name uncultured bacterium. Its description in RNAcentral is "partial 16S ribosomal RNA". It matches the Rfam family "Bacterial small subunit ribosomal RNA", at positions 28 to 507 of the family's 1533-position model. The record is from RNAcentral.